UUAAACGGCCGCGGUAUUUUGACCGUGCAAAGGUAGCGCAAUCACUUGUCUUUUAAAUGAAGACCUGUAUGAAUGGUAGUACGAGGGCUUAACUGUCUCCCCCCUCCAGUCAAUGAAAUUGAUCUACCCGUGCAGAAGCGGGUAUAAUAAUACAAGACGAGAAGACCCUUUGGAGCUUAAGACAAAAGACCAACUAUGUCAAGAGACAAGAAACUAAACCAAAUAAUUCUGGUCUAAAUCUUCGGUUGGGGCGACCGCGGGAGAAAAUGAAGCUCCCACGCAAACAGGGACCCCCCUAAAACUAAGAAAGACAUCUCUAAGGCACAGAAUUUCUGACCACAAAGAUCCGGCUAUCUGCCGACCAACGGACCAAGUUACCCCAGGGAUAACAGCGCAAUCCCCUUUCAGAGUCCAUAUCGACAAGGGGGUUUACGACCUCGAUGUUGGAUCAGGACAUCCUAAUGGUGCAGCCGCUAUUAAGGGUUCGUUUG
RNAcentral lists this ribosomal RNA (491 nucleotides) under Otothyris travassosi. RNAcentral's name for it is "partial 16S ribosomal RNA". It matches the Rfam family "Bacterial large subunit ribosomal RNA", at positions 1923 to 2579 of the family's 2925-position model. Lineage: Eukaryota; Metazoa; Chordata; Actinopteri; Siluriformes; Loricariidae. The record is from RNAcentral.